RNAcentral lists this ribosomal RNA (129 nucleotides) under Periophthalmus magnuspinnatus. The record is from RNAcentral. Lineage: Eukaryota; Metazoa; Chordata; Actinopteri; Gobiiformes; Gobiidae.
ACUGAAAAUUAAACCUAUAUUACUACACUGCCUUGUCAAUGCUCAAUCCUGUCUAACACUGGAAGCUAAGCAGACUUGGGCCUGAUUAGUACUUGGAUGGGAGACCACCGGGAAUACCAGGUGUCAGAG